This 497-nucleotide ribosomal RNA is filed under the name uncultured bacterium. RNAcentral describes it as "partial 16S ribosomal RNA". It matches the Rfam family "Bacterial small subunit ribosomal RNA", at positions 28 to 507 of the family's 1533-position model. The record is from RNAcentral.
GAUGAACGCUGGCGGCGUGCCUAAUACAUGCAAGUCGAGCGAACAGACGAGGAGCUUGCUCCUCUGACGUUAGCGGCGGACGGGUGAGUAACACGUGGAUAACCUACCUAUAAGACUGGGAUAACUUCGGGAAACCGGAGCUAAUACCGGAUAAUAUAUUGAACCGCAUGGUUCAAUAGUGAAAGACGGUUUUGCUGUCACUUAUAGAUGGAUCCGCGCCGCAUUAGCUAGUUGGUAAGGUAACGGCUUACCAAGGCGACGAUGCGUAGCCGACCUGAGAGGGUGAUCGGCCACCCUGGAACUGAGCCACGGUCCAGACUCCUACGGGAGGCAGCAGUAGGGAAUCUUCCGCAAUGGGCGAAAGCCUGACGGAGCAACGCCGCGUGAGUGAUGAAGGUCUUCGGAUCGUAAAACUCUGUUAUUAGUGAAGAACAAAUGUGUAAGUAACUAUGCACGUCUUGACGGUACCUAAUCAGAAAGCCACGGCUAACUACGUG